CCUACGGGUGGCAGCAGUAGGGAAUAUUGCUCAAUGGGGGAUACCCUGACCCAGCAACGCCGCGUGGAGGAUGAAGGUUUUCGGAUUGUCAACUCCUUUUGUUAGAGAAUAUCCUUGCGUUAUCUAACGUCUAAGCACCUGCUAAAUCCGUUCCAGCAGCCGCGGUAAUACGAAGGCUGCACGCGGUACUCGGAAUCACUAGGCGUUAAGUGAGCUUAGGCGGGAUAUCAAGUCAGAUGUGAAAGUCUAUGGCUUAACCAUAGAAAUGCAGUUGAACUUGUUAUUCUAGAGUAUGGGAGAGGUAGGUGGAAUUCUUGGUGUAGCGGUAAAAGCCUUAGAGAGCAAGAAGAACACGGAUUGCGAAGGCGACCUGCUAGAACGUAACUGACGCUGAUGCUCGAAAGUGUGGGUAGCAAACAGGAGUAGAUACCCGGGUAGUC
This 440-nucleotide ribosomal RNA is filed under the name uncultured bacterium. RNAcentral's name for it is "partial 16S ribosomal RNA". It matches the Rfam family "Bacterial small subunit ribosomal RNA", at positions 338 to 795 of the family's 1533-position model. The record is from RNAcentral.